CAGUGCUUGCCCGUUGAAUGACAGAUUAUGCUAUUAGAUCACCUACACCUUUCGCUGCACAUUGUAUUCAAGUAAUUGCAGACUCUUCUGCUUGUGGCUGAUUCGGACAGUCAACCAGAUAUGGGCAUUAAGCUCCCUGAUUUCAAACAACUGAGAACUUCACGUCCCUAGCUCAGUCCAGAUGAGAGUCCAUCAAGCACCCCUUCCACACAAAUCUAGUUUUUCCUUUUACCGUCCGCAUUCUGCCGCACAGCAUGACUCCAGCUCGGCUCCACUGCGGCCUGUCACAGGCCCCGUUGCGUGGGGAAAAGCAGAGGGAAACACGUGUUAGGGCAAUGCCGACCCCGUCACCUGAGCAUGGCUUCCGCCUGAAGCUCCCCCCCCGCACAGCAGGUCGCCAUGCGCUGAAUCGCUCGGGGUGAGCUAGGCUCCCGCCCGCAGGCAGGCAGCGCCGGGUGAGGUGCAUUCGAGCCACGCUGGCACUCUGUCUAUCAUGUGGAUGCCACAGACGUGCUCACAGUCGCAGGUCGUUCUGAGGCAUCGCUAUAUAUACGGCCUGGCCGUCGACAUCAGCAGCGACAGAGAGCUCUGAUUUCGCUACACCGCAGGCAGUGGACCCUGCUGCCAUCAGAAGUGGCUCGGCGCGGGCAGGGAUAGGGGCUGCUUGGCUUUCACACAGAGAGUGGUGCGUACUGGACCCUGGAUACCACGAUGAGGGGUAACCCUGUCAUCAGGGGACUCUUCAAACGGUAAGGGUAUUAACAGCAAUAAUGGUACUAACGAAAAACACUUACACACAGAC
Molecule: unclassified non-coding RNA, 802 nt
Filed under: Leishmania donovani
Lineage: Eukaryota; Euglenozoa; Kinetoplastea; Trypanosomatida; Trypanosomatidae
Description: gene:unknown
Source: RNAcentral